Molecule: ribosomal RNA, 253 nt
Filed under: uncultured bacterium
Lineage: Bacteria
Description: partial 16S ribosomal RNA
Rfam family: Bacterial small subunit ribosomal RNA
Source: RNAcentral
UACGGGGGAGGCAACGUUGUUCGGAAUCAUUGGGCGUAAAGCGCUCGUAGGCGGGAAGGCAAGUCCGUGUUGAAAGACCUCGGCUCAACCUGAGGGACCGGCUCGGGAUACUGUUUUUCUUGAGGCAUUCAGAGGGUGAUGGAAUUCCGGUGUAGCGGUGAAAUGCGUAGAUAUCGGGAGGAACACCAGUGGCGAAGGCGAUCACCUGGGGAUGUUCUGACGCUGAGGAGCGAAAGCUAGGGGAGCAAACGGG